UACGUAGGGUGCAAGCGUUAAUCGGAAUUACUGGGCGUAAAGCGUGCGCAGGCGGUUAUAUAAGACAGAUGUGAAAUCCCCGGGCUCAACCUGGGAACUGCAUUUGUGACUGUAUAGCUAGAGUACGGCAGAGGGGGAUGGAAUUCCGCGUGUAGCAGUGAAAUGCGUAGAGAUCUGGAGGAAUACCGAUGGCGAAGGCAAUCCCCUGGGCCUGCACUGACGCUCAUGCACGAAAGCGUGGGGAGCAAACAGG
RNAcentral lists this ribosomal RNA (253 nucleotides) under uncultured bacterium. Its description in RNAcentral is "partial 16S ribosomal RNA". It matches the Rfam family "Bacterial small subunit ribosomal RNA", at positions 524 to 776 of the family's 1533-position model. The record is from RNAcentral.